GGGGGCGAUUUAGGUUCGACGGGGAUAGAGCUGGCAGAGGAAGCGAGCCACGGACCAUGACCGUGUCAAAAACAUGGAAAGGCAUUAACUGCCAACAACGAUUACGCUCUGGCUGCGUAACUUAACGUAGCCCAUCCGCCCGGCCCAAGCCUGCGGGGUCGGAUACGGGUGUCAUAUUAGUAGGCUACCGACAGACAGUUGCUCUCGGGUCUGCCGGGAAACACUGAGGGCUAGCUCAAAUUGCAUCUUGCUUCUGAGAGGCAGUAUGAGCGAAAAUAAAAGCAGAAGCUACGCUCGUAGAUGCCUUUGUGGGCAUAUCUUCGGACGGGGGGUGCAACUCCCCCCCGCCUCCACCA
Molecule: transfer-messenger RNA, 356 nt
Filed under: bacterium
Lineage: Bacteria
Also listed under: 1 other name
Description: DUNI01 sp012839445 Standard tmRNA
Rfam family: transfer-messenger RNA
About the family: Bacterial tmRNA, also known as 10Sa RNA or SsrA, is named for its dual tRNA and mRNA-like properties. Its role is to liberate the mRNA from a stalled ribosome.
Source: RNAcentral